CAACAAGCAGUUUUGGAGGCCAACCAAGUACUCGCUACAUGAUAUCAUCAACACAGUGUUGUAUGAAGUUGUUCUUUUCUUAUGGAAACAGUAGUUUUUAAUUUUAGCAUCAAUUAUUUGCUUGGCUUUUUUCAUACCUAAUACUUCCUCGGGAAUGAUUUUUCCACCAUCAUUUAUCUCUUGAUGCUCAGCAGAGGGUAACUCCGGACUCUCCUCUACUUCUUUGACAACAUGACUUUCUUUUUCAAUGUUCACCAAUUCUUCGGACUCUACAUGUUUGGUAAUCACACCUUCACUUUUUUGUGCUUCUGAUUUCUGGUCAGUAUAUUCUACACUUUCUGCACUAACCUUGCUCAUUGUUUCGGGUAGAUUGAUCGCCUCAUGGACUUGAGUUGCUUGAUCUUUGUCAUUUUCUUUUGUGCUGCUCUUUCCAUCAUCUAUAGGUGUUGGUUCCUCUUCCUCAUGUGUUAGUUCCUGAAUAGUUUUCUCAACUAUUCCACUUUGGACAACUGCCAGUGUGGCCGUGGCCUCUAUUGAUGGAGCAUCUUCCUC
RNAcentral lists this long non-coding RNA (552 nucleotides) under Lupinus mutabilis. RNAcentral describes it as "partial ncRNA". The record is from RNAcentral. Lineage: Eukaryota; Viridiplantae; Streptophyta; Magnoliopsida; Fabales; Fabaceae.